CCUACGGGGGGCUGCAGUCGAGAAUCUUCGGCAAUGGGCGAAAGCCUGACCGAGCGACGCCGCGUGCGGGAUGAAGGCCUUCGGGUUGUAAACCGCUGUCAGUGGGGAGGAAAUGCUGGAGGGUUCUCCCUUCAGUUUGACCUAUCCGCAGAGGAAGUACGGGCUAAGUUCGUGCCAGCAGCCGCGGUAACACGAACCGUCGGAACGUUAUUCGGAAUCACUGGGCUUAACGUGUGCGUAGGCGGCGUGUGAAAUCCCUCGGCUUAACCGAGGAAUUGCGCUCAAAACUGCCAGGCGAGAGGAAGUCAGAGGUGAGUGGAACUUAGGGUGGAGCGGUGAAAUGCGUUGAUAUCCUAAGGAACACCAGUGGCGAAAGCGACUCACUGGGGCUUUUCUGACGCUGAGGCACGAAAGCUAGGGGAGCGAACGGGAUUAGAUACCCGAGUAGUU
This 450-nucleotide ribosomal RNA is filed under the name uncultured bacterium. RNAcentral's name for it is "partial 16S ribosomal RNA". It matches the Rfam family "Bacterial small subunit ribosomal RNA", at positions 338 to 795 of the family's 1533-position model. The record is from RNAcentral.